This is a long non-coding RNA of Oreochromis aureus, 3048 nucleotides long. NCBI's taxonomy places the organism in Eukaryota, Metazoa, Chordata, Actinopteri, Cichliformes, Cichlidae. The record is from Ensembl.
UCGCAGAGGUUGCAGAUGCUUUCUUGGUGAAAUUUUAAAUAGCAUUCAACUAUUUAGUGUGUAUAUUUUUUUUCUUUUUUCUUUUUUUUUUUUUUUGCUUUUGAAAAAGUUAACUCUUUAUCAGUUAAAUGUGGAUAGAAAAAAAAACCUUUCCACUAGUGAAAAUGGAGUGUUGUGUGGUUUUAUAAACAUUUUAUCUAAAGCACUUUAUAACCUCUUUUGUGUAACCUGCUACUCCUUAUAUCCGUCCACAGCUCUCUACUGAUCUAAGAUGAAUUUGUACUCUGAAACGUCCAGUGGGUGGGGUUAAAAAAAAAAAACAAAGAAGAAGAGAAAAAAAAUGAAAGCAGUCGUCUUUGUACAAAUAGAUACAUCAUUUUUACAUUUUCUCUCAUGUCAGAAUAUUUUUGAGGUCUAGACAACUUUGUAUAGAACGUCUGCGCACUGUUGAGUCCCUCUUUGUAUUCAGUCCCAGUGGUCCAGUCAAGUCUAUCCAAAAACAGCCAUUCCCACAAACGGCAUUGUCACUUGUCAGUGUUUGAGUGGUAACUAGGCCUUUUGUGUUUUAGACACUGACAACACAUCUGAAAUACUGAUUCGUUUAGUUUGUACAUUUACAUGAAGGAUCUUCAUUGUUUUGGUUUUUUUCUUUUGUACUAAGUCUCGGUUCUUCUCGUUGGAAUGUUUUUACUGUUGUUCGUGUUGUGUUUCGAUAUUAAGUUUUUGUUUCUGUUUGUAGCCCGUGCAGGUUGGUGCCGCAUGAAGCUGGCUCCUGUCCUUUGUGUUGUGAACAGGGGCUCACUGGUAGAUGAAAUCUGUUACAUAGAGGUUGUCAUUUUUGAUUCCAUCUUUGGUGCUAUGUAGAGGAGUAAUGGGCACUUCUGUCGUCGUGUUAGUACAGUUUGUACUAUCAAUAGCACUUGCAUUUGUUUUUAGUUUGGAAGCAAAGAGCUGGCUGUUGUUGAGGGAUCAGACUGGAGUGCACCCACCCAGGCAUACCAAAGCUCCUGAUUGUGAAUGGUCGCCAUUUUGUCCUCGCCAUCGUAACGUUUACUCAUUUGUAUUUGUUCGUUCACAUAAUGCAGCUCUCACAUGGCUAACAAUUCAGCAUGCUGGGGGGUUGUUUUGUUUUGCUCUUUUACAAGAUUUCUGAUAGUUUUGCGAAGGUACUUUGCUUCAUGGAUCAGUUUAUCUCAUUAACAUUUCCACUGAUUUGAUACAUUACUCUAUUUUUCAAUGAAGAGUUGACAUUGCUGAACUUUCCAAAUCUGAUAUUAGCCAAUUUGGCAUUAUGCCCCCCUCCCCCCCCAAAAAAGACAUGAUUUUUUUCUUGGAGACUUCAGACAUUAGAAUCGCAUUGCUCACAUGCAUUUGUUUACAUUUUCAUGGUCAUACUCUUUUAUCUUUGCAGCUGUUAGUGAUCCAUUUUAAAAGUAACUUAUCUUUUUUAGAAUUUUGUAUCCAUGUAUCAAAAUGUAGAGUAUUUUUGUAAAACUAAACUUUUUCUUUUUUGCUCAUAGCAAAGAACUAUCAUUGCUAGUGUUUUGUUGGUUUUUCCCCUGAAAUGAAGCGCAGGUUUAUUGUUAAGUCUAUGACUGAAACUAGAAAUGUAAGUGGACAUCAAGCGAUUAUGUUAGACUUAAAUCUACUGUCAUGAUAUUGACUUUACGCAAACUGUAGAACAUAACGUGAAGUUUUCUCCUCUUUUUUUUGUGCUCUGUGUGUUUUGUGUGGGCGUUUUGUAUUUUAAACUCUUUUUUGUUUUUUAACAUCAUGCAUCUCAAAUGGCACUUUGACUCGUCCAUUAACUGUAGAUCAAGUUAGAGUGCAGUAGUGAUGUUUCCAAGCAUUCCAUCCCUCUCAGUUAGGGGAGCUAAAGAGCACAUGAUGUUGUGGAAGAAGUGCGGAACAGUAAUGCCUCUUAAAGCCAUACCAACACAGAAAGCCAACCCGUGACUUCGGUUUCAUGAAUGUAAAUUUUACCUCAUGGUGUGUGGAAUGGGGCUUGCUCUACAUCUGACAUCGGACCAAUUCUAGGCUUAGAGAACAUGUAUAUUUUGAGGUGGAGGGAAGGGGAUGGGCAGGGCGGCACCAGCUGUCAUUUGUGUCACUGCACAUUGGUCAAAUUGUUUUUGAUUGUGGUGUAAUUUCAAAACCGACCAUUAGUUUUAUUAUUAUUAAUUUCAGUCCGACUUUGACGAAUAGCCACUUCACCGGGGGGAGAGGAAAAAAAAGAAACCGUGUUGAUUUAAAGGCGUUGAAAAGAGCACACAAAUCUUUGCAUAAUAUUUUUGUCCUUCAGUCAUGUAAAUGAAUAUCCAUGUAUAUUUAAAUGUGAAAUAUACUGCAGGGGUAUUUUGAAUUUCAAUUGUGAUGCUUUCAACAGAACUUUGUGUGCCUUGAUAACUUAAACGUUGCUCUGCUGUGUUUACUGGUGUCCCUUUUGUCUCAUUGCUCCUUUUUAUUCUCUAAGACUGUUUAACAUCCGAAAGCUUUUCCGUUACUUUCUCCUCCCCCUGACACGGACAUAAACGUAACUGUUAUACUUUAACAUAUUCUCAAUCCGUUGCAAGAUAUCAACAUAAUAUUGUGCAGCUUCACCAGUGAAUUGUCACCUUGUUGUUUUCUAUUGAAAAUGCUUUUCAUGCCUCAUGAGAUUUGUACAUGUGAGGUUAAAGGGACGAGACAGUGGAGAUUGUUUUUAUCGAGAACUUUGUGUUGAUGUGCUUGUCAACAUUACUAUUGUUGCUGUGAAACGCUUGAUCAAAAGGGGCAGCCAUGAUAAAUUAAAUUGCCAAUAGUGUGAGCUGUAUCUUGUGUGUAAUCAGUUUGCUCACUUUUCCUAGUUCGCUUCUAUUUCACAUUCUCCAACAGUUCUGUUGUAUCCGUUCUGUGUAGCUUGAGCUUUAGUAUCUAGCCUUAAGACCCUGCAGUAGGGAUAAAGGUCAAACCUGGCGUGUUAUCAUACAUCUGAACUAUUAUUAACAUGUAAUUUUGCCUUUGUCUGGACAUUUGUAUACUCUUUGUUUAUAUCUGUAAUCCUGCUGC